Molecule: long non-coding RNA, 666 nt
Filed under: Malus domestica (apple)
Lineage: Eukaryota; Viridiplantae; Streptophyta; Magnoliopsida; Rosales; Rosaceae
Description: long non-coding RNA (MDOM_LNC016158)
Source: RNAcentral
UCUCAGAGGGACCAUUUGUAUAUAUGUAUUUUGAGGUGUACUAACAAUAAGGUAUUUUUGUGAUGCUUCCUACCUUAACUAGUGACACUGAUGUUUGUCAUUUCUUCUCUAACUAUGCACUUGAUGGUAAAAGUAGUGAACUCAUGUCUGGUUCAGUGAAUGAAGUUGAUGAAAAUAUUGGAAACAGUUUCAACACUUAUAAUUGAAGUUUGCAGCAAGUCAUCAAGUAAACCGGGAUUAUUUAUUCUUAUUCUUGUAGAAGUAUACAGAAAGGAGUAAAAUCUAAGAAAAUUGCUUGAUGAAAGUUUUGAGACAUAUUGGGACCAUUUGUAUAUAUGUAUUUUGAGGUGUACUAACAAUAAGGUAUUUUUGUGAUGCUUCCUACCUUAACUAGUGACACUGAUGUUUGUCAUUUCUUCUCUAACUAUGCACUUGAUGGUAAAAGUAGUGAACUCAUGUCUGGUUCAGUGAAUGAAGUUGAUGAAAAUAUUGGAAACAGUUUCAACACUUAUAAUUGAAGUUUGCAGCAAGUCAUCAAGUAAACCGGGAUUAUUUAUUCUUAUUCUUGUAGAAGUAUACAGAAAGGAGUAAAAUCUAAGAAAAUUGCUUGAUGAAAGUUUUGAGACAUAUUGAUCUCAAUCUCUCUCUCUAACGUUUUCAACAAUU